CCUACGGGCGGCAGCAGUGAGGAAUAUUGGUCAAUGGGCGCAAGCCUGAACCAGCCAAGUCGCGUGAGGGAUGACGGUCCUAUGGAUUGUAAACCUCUUUUGUCGGGGAGCAAGGCCCGCCACGUGUGGCGGGAAGGAGAGUACCCGAAGAAAAAGCAUCGGCUAACUCCGUGCCAGCAGCCGCGGUAAUACGGAGGAUGCGAGCGUUAUCCGGAUUUAUUGGGUUUAAAGGGUGUGUAGGCGGAAGGUUAAGUCAGCGGUCAAAUGUCGGUGCUCAACACCGGCCUGCCGUUGAAACUGGUCGUCUUGAGUGAGCGAGAAGUAUGCGGAAUGCGUGGUGUAGCGGUGAAAUGCAUAGAUAUCACGCAGAACUCCGAUUGCGAAGGCAGCAUACCGGCGCUCAACUGACGCUGAGGCACGAAAGCGUGGGGAUCGAACAGGAUUAGAUACCCCUGUAGUC
RNAcentral lists this ribosomal RNA (460 nucleotides) under uncultured bacterium. RNAcentral describes it as "partial 16S ribosomal RNA". It matches the Rfam family "Bacterial small subunit ribosomal RNA", at positions 338 to 795 of the family's 1533-position model. The record is from RNAcentral.